CCCGCCAGUAUUCUGGCGGGCAUGCCUGUCCGAGCGUCAUUUCAACCAUCAAGCCUAGUGCUUGUGUUGGGGCCCCGCGGCUGCCGCGGGCCCUGAAAACUAGUGGCGGGCUCGAAGUCGAACCGAGUGCAGUAAAUUUCUUCGCUUGGGAAGGUGACGAGUUCCGGCCGUAAAAAGCCCAACUUUAUCAAGGUUGACCUCGGAUCAGGUAGGAUUACCCGCUGAACUUAAGCAUAUCAAUAAGCGGAGGAAAAGAAACCAACAGGGAUUGCCCCAGUAACGGCGAGUGAAGCGGCAACAGCUCAAAUUUGAAAUCUGGCUUCGGCCCGAGUUGUAAUUUGUAGAGGAAGCUUCUGGUGAGGCACCGUCCGAGUCCCCUGGAACGGGGCGCCACAGAGGGUGAGAGCCCCGUAUGGAUGGACGCCGAUCCUGUGUGAAGCUCCUUCGACGAGUCGAGUAGUUUGGGAAUGCUGCUCAAAAUGGGAGGUAAAUUCCUUCUAAAGCUAAAUACCGGCCAGAGACCGAUAGCGCACAAGUAGAGUGAUCGAAAGAUGAAAAGCACCUUGAAAAGGGGGUUAAACAGCACGUGAAAUUGUUGAAAGGGAAGCGCUUAUGAUCAGAACUCGGGCCCGUCGGAUCAUCCGGUGUUCUCACCGGUGCACUCCGGCGGUUCUGGGCCAGCAUCGGUUUUCGCGGGGGGACAAAGGUCCCGGGAACGUACCUCCUCCAG
Molecule: ribosomal RNA, 730 nt
Filed under: uncultured Lasiosphaeriaceae
Lineage: Eukaryota; Fungi; Ascomycota; Sordariomycetes; Sordariales; Lasiosphaeriaceae
Description: eukaryotic LSU rRNA
Rfam family: Eukaryotic large subunit ribosomal RNA (bases 195-730)
Source: RNAcentral